GUACACUCCUACGGGAGGCAGCAGUGGGGAAUUUUGGACAAUGGGCGAAAGCCUGAUCCAGCAAUGCCGCGUGAGUGAAGAAGGCCUUCGGGUUGUAAAGCUCUUUUGUCAGGGAAGAAACGGUGAGAGCUAAUAUCUUUUGCUAAUGACGGUACCUGAAGAAUAAGCACCGGCUAACUACGUGCCAGCAGCCGCGGUAAUACGUAGGGUGCAAGCGUUAAUCGGAAUUACUGGGCGUAAAGCGUGCGCAGGCGGUUUUGUAAGUCUGAUGUGAAAUCCCCGGGCUCAACCUGGGAAUUGCAUUGGAGACUGCAAGGCUAGAAUCUGGCAGAGGGGGGUAGAAUUCCACGUGUAGCAGUGAAAUGCGUAGAUAUGUGGAGGAACACCGAUGGCGAAGGCAGCCCCCUGGGUCAAGAUUGACGCUCAUGCACGAAAGCGUGGGGAGCAAACAGGAUUAGAAACCCUGGUAGUCC
RNAcentral lists this ribosomal RNA (473 nucleotides) under uncultured organism. RNAcentral's name for it is "partial 16S ribosomal RNA". It matches the Rfam family "Bacterial small subunit ribosomal RNA", at positions 331 to 796 of the family's 1533-position model. The record is from RNAcentral.